RNAcentral lists this unclassified non-coding RNA (246 nucleotides) under Hevea brasiliensis (rubber tree). The record is from RNAcentral. Lineage: Eukaryota; Viridiplantae; Streptophyta; Magnoliopsida; Malpighiales; Euphorbiaceae.
GGGGCAGCUCAUUUGACUUGUGUAUAAGAGAACAAAACUUAUUAAUUGUAUAGUGGUCCUUGGAACAGGGCUAUUGUUAUCUAAGUUGGAUGUUAUUAUGCUAUCAGAUGUAGAUGAUCUAGUUUCAGCGAUUAACCAUUUAUUUCCAGCAUAGGAUGCUUCUGUUGAGGACCCUUCUUUUUCCUCCGUCUCAUCUGCUAUUGUAAUGGCUUCGUCUUAGACGACAGCAAUUUACCAACGUAAAAG